Molecule: ribosomal RNA, 648 nt
Filed under: Triticum aestivum (bread wheat)
Lineage: Eukaryota; Viridiplantae; Streptophyta; Magnoliopsida; Poales; Poaceae
Description: partial small subunit ribosomal RNA
Source: RNAcentral
AUGGCAGUCACACUAUGGGCCAUAUGGCAUGCCUGCCGGAAAGCUAUCCACGAGUCCAUAUUCCAGAGCCCCCAUGCUACGUAUAAUUUCAUUACCAGAUUCAUGGGUGAUCUGAACAUCAUAAAAGGCAAGGAGAGCAGUCAGGCCACAAACACGCCGGUUCAGCGGAGGCCAAAGAAGCCACCUGCGGGUUACUGCAAGAUACAUGUUGACGCUGGAGUGAUGACCAGAAGGGGAGGAUCAGCAGCAGCAGUAUGUAGAGAUGAAGGGGGCAACUAUCUGGGCAGCUCCGCGUUAGUUCUGGAAGGAGUGGUGGAUCCGGCCACUCUUGAGGCUAUAGCAUGCAGGGAAGCCUUGUCACUGGCAGAUGAUCUGGGCAUUCAAAAUUUCAUUGUCGCAUCGGACUGCAAGCAAGUCAUCUCGGACAUCAACAGAAACUUGCACGGGUUGUAUGGAGCGAUCAUCAUGGAGAUACAACUUAGAUCAUCUACUUUUCAUUGUAACUUUUCUUUGGAGAGUCAUGCUGUUAAUUAUGAAGCACAUAGCUUAGCCAAGUUUUCGCUCUCUAGAGGUCCGGGACGCCACGUUUGGUUUGGCGUGUCUCACGACCAGAGAUGUAUCCCACACCAUGUGGACUUUCAUGAAUAA